RNA transcript from Dreissena polymorpha, 2350 nucleotides. It is a transcript of the gene named neuronal calcium sensor 2-like, with no coding region annotated. The record is from RefSeq and is a predicted model, not a curated record. The transcript has 3 exons. Lineage: Eukaryota; Metazoa; Mollusca; Bivalvia; Myida; Dreissenidae.
GGUACUGAAGAAAUAAACAUGGACCUAUAUAUGUGUGUAUAGGUCCCUACGCAAAACAAGGAAGCGAAACGGGUUUAUCAAAUAUAUUUGAGGAUUUAAAGUGUUUCUGUUAUCGAUCUGACAACCAGAUAAUAGUUUCGUGUUUAACAUGUAUUUCAUUUCAAGGCGUGUGGCUUUCAAGGCGUGUGGCUUUAAAUGGUGUGUUGUUUUACAGAUCAUGAUAAGGAUAGUGCUGCAACCUUGUGAACUUAUAAAUAUCAUGAUAAUAGUAGUAUCUAAAGUGGGACAAUAAAAUACCUAACGGUACACUCGCUUACAGUCUUGCAAACCCGGAGGUUUCCGAAAAAAUAGUUAUGGACUAGCUGUGUUCAACUCGAUCUCACAAAUGCCGAAAGAUUAUUGAAUUCCUUGCAAAGUAUGAGAAAGUAAAUUUGGAUUUUGUUUAACCAGUGCGUUUGUGAAAACGUUUACACUUGCUUAUUCAAAAAAAAAAAACAGUUGCGACAAACUAUCGCAAUUUGCAAUCACUUAAGUAUAAUUAUUGAAUUAUAUUUAAGGGAUUGUAUUGCCUCAAGAGUGACUUGAAUAGUUUAAAUUAAAGGCAUAUUGGGAAAAUAACUUUUGAUACAAAUAAUAAUAAGGCCGCUUUACAAAAGAAUCGGUAACCGAUAAAGUAAUCGGUUUAUUAUCGAUUUAUCAAAAUUGCAAUGUGUGCAAAUACAAGUUUUCAUGCUCAUACUUAUUGGAUGUUACGAUUGUAUGCGUCAUAUGCGUUUAUGGUGUCAGGCAAAAACAACGGUGAGCAUAAACAUUGCUACAUGAACUGGUUUAAUUAAUAUAUUUCGCCUUUUUAUUGUUGAGAAUUUUGUUAAAACAAACUUUGAAAAAGCUUAUUUAGGCGAAAUAUAUCAGAAAAGAGUGGAAUUUGUUCUGUGUAAAUUUAUAUUUAUCCCUACUGGAUACAAAACUGAGUGACAUUUAAAUAGAUUGUGAAAACUAACUAAAUACUGGGGAUAUUUUAAGCAAAAGAUUGGUUUAACAACUUCUUCCAAGCAUGGGAAAUAGGGCUUCCAAAUCAAAGGGCAGAUACCUAAAUGAAUUAAUAAAAAAGUUCCCAACAUGAAUUUCGAGGAAGUGCUAAAUACUUACGACGAAUUCCAAGCGCAGUCGCGAGGCAGUGGUCGCCUCAAGCAGAAGGAUUUUAUUGAAGUAUACAAAAGAGCCUUCCAGGGGAACAAAGGGGCCACAGCUCUGGCCGAGAGAAUCUUUCAGUCGUUUGACACGGACAACAGUGGUUAUAUCGAUUUUGAGGAAUAUCUAGUCGGUAUGAGCCUCACAGAAGCAAGUCUUGGUGAUUCGGACAGAGAAACAAAGUUAAAGAAACUGAAAUGGGCAUUUAAUGUCUACGACAAAGACCGAAGUGGGACGAUCGACAAACACGAAAUGCGUUCAAUAGUGCGGGUUGUGGCAGAGCUCGCUCCGGACGUUUCGUUUCUAGGAAACGGCUCAGCAGAAGACUUUGCAGAUCGCUUAUUCAAUCAAGUGGACGCGAACGGAGAUGGAGAUAUUACAUUUGAAGAGUUCCGAAGGGCAGCUGAAAUCAACGAAACCUUGAUAGAUUUACUACUCCCAGCGCCAGCCGUUUGAUUUAAAGUGUAACUUUACCUUUUCUCCGCCAUAUUUAGUGCUAUUGCGUUAUUUUUGCAUAUAUUUCAGUAAGCCUUUAGUUUAAACCUAUUUAUUUUUUAGCUCGAUUGCAUAGAAAGUAAUUCCUACUUAUUUGAAAUGCUCUCGAGUCCGUUUCCUGGGCCUAGAACCAGUACUUGGUGUCUAUAUGGGAGAUCGAAAGAACGCUCCCACAGCGGGGAUCGAACCCGUGACCUCCCGGUCGCUAGGCGGACACCAUAUCCAUUACACCACAGCGACCUUAAAGCCAGUAAGCCAGUAAGCAUCUUUUACCAAAAUAUACGUGCAAAUAUAACUUUAGUGCAUGUUAUGCAGUAGACCCACUUGGUAUUGUUUUAUCUUUCGGGAGUUUCGAUAGGGUAAGAUUUGGUUUUCACUACUUAAUAACUAAAAGUGAUUUAUAUGAGGCUAUAAAAACAUUGCGCUGUGGCGGCUAACGCUCUAAUACAAAACGGACGAAAAGAGCGAAAACAUAAGGUGCAAAAACAGUCGAUUUUUUUUUAUCAAGUUCUUUCUUGCAUACCACAUGAAAUACAUCUGUAUUUCUUAAAUCAAUUCGGCGUAGACUUGUAUUUAAGAAAAAGUCUGGUUAUGAGUGUUUCUAUGUUAGAGAUUGCAUUUAUAUUUCGUUCAGGUUGUGACUUUUCAUUAAAUUAUAAAGUGA